UGAUUGUCUUCCCCCACCCUCA
Molecule: microRNA, 22 nt
Filed under: Homo sapiens (human)
Lineage: Eukaryota; Metazoa; Chordata; Mammalia; Primates; Hominidae
Description: hsa-miR-6766-3p
Source: miRBase by way of RNAcentral